RNAcentral lists this long non-coding RNA (2000 nucleotides) under Felis catus (domestic cat). Its description in RNAcentral is "lncRNA (ENSFCAG00000049394.1)". Lineage: Eukaryota; Metazoa; Chordata; Mammalia; Carnivora; Felidae. The record is from RNAcentral.
CUUUCUGCCCCUCCCCUGCUCUCACUCACUCUCUCUCAAAUGAAAUAAGCCUGAAAAAAGAAGGGAUGCGUUUCGAACAUUUCCCUUGUUUUUAAUAUACUUUAUGUCACUGUAAGUGUACAUAAUUUACUUUUUAUUUUUUUAAAUUUUUUUUUCAACGUUUAUUUAUUUUUGGGACAGGGAGAGACAGAGCAUGAACGGGGGAGGGGCAGAGAGAGAGGGAGACACAGAAUCGGAAACAGGCUCCAGGCUCCGAGCCAUCAGCCCAGAGCCCGACGCGGGGCUCGAACUCGCGGACCGCGAGAUCGUGACCUGGCUGAAGUCGGACGCUUAACCGACUGCGCCACCCAGGCGCCCCUAAUUUAUUUUUUAGUCAUGGCCAUGAUCAUCAACAGAUUCACAGAAUUCCUGAAAAUGGAGUCAUCAGCUCACACCUGUGUCCUGGUAAAACCCGGAUGGUUCCACUCGCUCUAAGUGUCGAGAGUCAGAGAGGACGCCUGCAAAGAAAGGGCUUUCCCCAGAUCACGCGCCCAAAAGGAAGGGGGCCGCCUUAUCCCUGUCCCAUUAGAGUCUGUGACUUCUGAGCGGUUUCUGAGGCCGGGGACACAGGGCCUUCUGGGACACCCUCCACUUGGCUUUCUCCUCCGGAAACGGAAACUGGGACAAGAGAGGGAGGCGCGGUCUGCCACCUGCCGGUCAACGCGCAGGUUCCGGGGGCGCCCCUUGCGUGUUCCAGGCUCGUUUGUUUUUCCAGCCUUGUAUCUUGUCCAUUUCUCUCAUCUACCGUUUAUAUAGUCACAUCAUACCUUGCCGAAAAUUAAUAUCCAAACACACGCGCCAUCUCACAUCGUAAGGAAAACGGCCGUCUUCCCCCAGCCCACUUCUGGCCACUGUUGAUUUUCUGCAAUAUGCUCUUCCAGAUUUUUCCCUCCGUUCCUACAACGGGUUUUUUUUUUUUUUUUAAAGCCCCCAAACCAUAGGAGUCUCCUACGCAGGCUGCUCCUUUAUUUAACGAAUUGUAAACAUCACAUCCAGCUCUUGACGACUUGCAAGAAAACGCGGAGUCAAUGGGGCGCGUCAUGUAACAGAAGGAAUUACUGUCAUUAUCAAAGCUACAGGCAGGCGCUGCGCGAGUCUCCGAGACCCCUCGUUUCUGAUCUCCUUUUGAGGCUGAGGCCCCCGCCCGGCGUUUUCAAAGCAUCCCGUGGCCAUGGGAACCAGUGGCACACAGACGCGCGGACCCUCACCUUACCUGCGUUUCUCGUCCUUGCGUUUCUCCGCCCCCCGCAAGAGAUCCUCCGGCCCUCUGGACGUCUACACGCACCGGGAGGGAUUAAGGAGUUAACAUUCGCCCGACGACCUCGACUCACGGGGUCAGAAGCUGCUGGAUUGAAUGCUCUCCGUGCCUUUGUCGUCUGUCUUGGGUGGAAACAUCUGAGGCACGUCCUACGGGGUUCCUCACCGGUGCCCACGUGGGACUGAGCCCGGGUCCCUAGUAGCACCCAGAUCAAUACCGUACCUUUGAGUCGGUUUCCUCUGGUCCCCAUUUCACCCAUCGGUCUCUGCUCCAGCUCCCUGAUCGCCUCCCCAAAUCACCUUGGUCUUGGGCUCCGACUUGGGGGAACCGAGGUAGCACAGUGAGUACUGUUUGUCUAUCUGAGACAACCUUCCUCAGCAUCCAAUAUCUCUCCACACCUCCCGGCUCUAAUUAACUCACUAAGCGAGCACGACUGUCCGAGGCAGGGCUUUUCCAAUGCUUGAGAAUCCUCUAAAUCAGUGGUUCUCCUGGGGCGCCUGGGGGGCUCGAUCAGUUAAGCGUCCGACCUUCAGCCCAGGCCGUGAUCUCGAGGUUCACGGGUUCGAGCUCCACGUCGGGCUCUGUGCUGACAGUUCGAAGCCCGGAGCCUGCUUUGGAUUCCGUGUCUCCCUCUCUCUGCCCCUCCCUUGCUCACGCUCUGUCUCUCUCAAAAAUAAAUAAACACUAAAAAAAAUUUAAAUCA